GCCUACUGUUUAAUUUUGAGGGUUCGUUUUUACGAAUACUCAAAAUUAGCACUUUAAGCAACAGAAUAAACUGAACGCAUGUGAAGUUUAUUUGUUGGCGCUGUGCGUUAGCACUUUAAGCAACGGGAUUUAUCCGUUGGCGCUGUGCGUUAGCACUUUAAGCAACGGGAUUUAUCCGUUGGCGCUGUGCGUUAGCACUUUGAAAACUGCAUAUAUAUUUAGUGAUAUGACAUCUAAUUUGUAAUAUAUAAAGCUGAUAACUUUUUAAAAUUAUCGAAGUUGAUAGCUUCUAAUCUAUCAAACCUUUUUAACUGGUCAA
RNAcentral lists this unclassified non-coding RNA (319 nucleotides) under Clostridioides difficile. RNAcentral describes it as "16S-23S ribosomal RNA intergenic spacer (ISR)". The record is from RNAcentral. Lineage: Bacteria; Bacillati; Bacillota; Clostridia; Peptostreptococcales; Peptostreptococcaceae.